AAAUCAUCCUCUAAGUUUUGCAAUUGUAGCAGUUUUGACCCUCAAGGCCAAUUUUUGGUUAAAAAAUAACACGUGACACCUUACUUAGGGUGUCACGUCAGCGUAGACCAAGUCAAAAUUGGCAUUGGGGCCAAAACUGCCACAAAUGCAAAACUUAAGGAACAGUUU
RNAcentral lists this microRNA precursor (168 nucleotides) under Medicago truncatula (barrel medic). Its description in RNAcentral is "MIR2619 microRNA precursor family". It matches the Rfam family "MIR2619 microRNA precursor family". Lineage: Eukaryota; Viridiplantae; Streptophyta; Magnoliopsida; Fabales; Fabaceae. The record is from Rfam by way of RNAcentral.